Manis pentadactyla (Chinese pangolin) is the source of this 365-nucleotide long non-coding RNA. RefSeq lists it as uncharacterized. The transcript has 4 exons. The record is from RefSeq and is a predicted model, not a curated record. Lineage: Eukaryota; Metazoa; Chordata; Mammalia; Pholidota; Manidae.
GUUUCCCUGCCGGCCCUCCCCUGCCCCAGAGCGGCCCCCAGGGCCCGCCUUCUGCGCCUGCCUACACGCACUGGUCCUUCCUUCUGUGGCCUCGUUCGUACAACACAGUCAUUCAGAUGCCAGCUGUUUCCCAGAGAUUAAGAACCAGCAUCUAGGACAGUGCUAUCAUUGUACCAAGCAAAUGCUUCGUUGAAAUUACUCUCAGGGAGCCCACAGAGAGCGAGGCCAGGAGUCAAGCCCUGCGGAGCCCACCUGCCCAGCUUUCUGAACCCAUCUGGCCUGAGCUAGAAGGAGGGGAGAAGUUUAAAUAGGAUGAAAGAUAACAGUCUUGAUAGCAGACUGGAAGUUUUUAAUGUCUGAUAAUA